Molecule: long non-coding RNA, 310 nt
Filed under: Oryza sativa aromatic subgroup
Lineage: Eukaryota; Viridiplantae; Streptophyta; Magnoliopsida; Poales; Poaceae
Description: lncRNA OsARC_08g0013140
Source: RNAcentral
UCCACCUCCAGCGGCUGUUGGCGCCGUUGCCAGAUCGGGACAGCUCACACUAGCAUUACAAGAAGAUCAACGCCAUUACCAGUAUGCCUGGCAUUACCUGCCGGCUGCCGCCGUGCUUCGGAGUGGAUGGUUCGCCGCGCCCGGCAGCGCGUUGGUGAGGGUGUGAGGCUGGAUAAUGGAUUGGCUGAUAGGGACUGGUACUUACCGUCCACCAUUCACGCUGUCGGCACCAUCUCCUCCGGCGUUGUCGACGUCGGCCUUGAGCCCACCCUACGAGAGCCGCUUCAUCUCUCUGCUUAGAGAACGCGAU